AAACAACACCGGAACACGGCGGUCAUCAAAGACUUCCGGUUUCGAACUUCCGCCGCGGGUCGCGCUUUUUGGGGUCCGGUGUUUUUAUUAAAGAAAUUAUGCAUUAUUCUUGAUCACUGUAAUAGAGGAGCACUGAGAAGAAUUGAAAAGUGUUUAGGGGGUUGAGGGAGUUGAGGAGGUUGAAGAGGUUUGGGGCGGUUGAGGGAGUUGAGAUUGUAGAGGUUUAGGGGAUUUAGGGAGAUUGAGUGGGAUUGAGUAGUAUUGAGGUUGAGGAGGAUUGAGGUGGUUCAGUAAGAUUGAGGAGGUUCAGUAGGAUUGAGUAGUAUUGAGGUUGAGGAGGAUUGAGGUGGUUCAGUAAGAUUGAGGAGGUUCGGUAGGAUUGAGUAGUAUUGAGGUUGAGGAGGAUUGAGGUGGUUCAGUAAGAUUGAGGAGGUUCAGUAGGAUUGAGUAGUAUUGAGGUUGAGGAGGAUUGAGGUGGUUCAGUAAGAUUGAGGAGGUUCGGUGGGAUUGAGUAGUAUUGAGGUUGAAGAGGAUUGAGGUGGUUUAGUAAGAUUGAGGAGGUUCAGUAGGAUUAAGUAGUAUUGAGGUUGAGGAGGAUUGAGGUGGUUCAGUAAGAUUGUGGAGGUUGAGUGAGAUUGAGUAGUAUUGAGGCUGAGGAGGAUUGAGGUUGAUAGUAUUGAGGUGGUUCAGUAAAAUUUAGGAGGUUGACUGAGAUUGAGGAGGUUGAGUAGCAUUGAGAUUGAGUAGUAUUGAGGUUGAGGAGGAUUAAGAUGGUUCAGUAAGAUUGAGAGGGUUGAGUGAGAUUGUGGAGGUUGAGUAGGAUUGAGUAGUAUUGAGGUUGAGGAGGAUUGAGGUGGUUUAGUAAGAUUGAGGAGGUUCAGUAGGAUUGAUUAGUAUUGAGGUUGAGGAGGAUUAAGAUGGUUCAGUAAGAUUGAGAAGGUUGAGUGAGAUUGUGGAGGUUGAGUAGGAUUGAGUAGUAUUGAGAUUGAGUAGUAUUGAGGUUGAGGAGGAUUGAGGUGGUUUAGUAAGAUUGAGGAGGUUGAGUAGGAUUGAGUAGUAUUGAGGUUGAGGAGGAUUGAGGUGGUUUAGUAAGAUUGAGGAGGUUCAGUAGGAUUGAUUAGUAUUGAGGUUGAGGAGGAUUAAGAUGGUUCAGUAAGAUUGAGAAGGUUGAGUGAGAUUGUGGAGGUUGAGUAGGAUUGAGUAGUAUUGAGAUUGAGUAGUAUUGAGGUUGAGGAGGAUUGAGGUGGUUUAGUAAGAUUGAGGAGGUUCAGUAGGAUUGAGUAGUAUUGAGGUUGAGAAGGAUUGAGGUGGUUUAGUAAGAUUGAGGAGGUUCAGUAGGAUUGAGUAGUAUUGAGGUUGAGGAGGAUUGAGGUGGUUUAGUAAGAUUGAGGAGGUUCAGUAGGAUUGAGUAGUAUUGAGGUUGAGGAGGAUUGAGGUGGUUUAGUAAGAUUGAGGAGGUUCAGUAGGAUUGAGUAGUAUUGAGGCUGAGGAGGAUUGAGGUUGAUAGUAUUUAGGUGGUUCAGUAAAAUUUAGGAGGUUGACUGAGAUCGAGGAGGUUGAGUAGCAUUGAGAUUGAGUAGUAUUAAGAUUGAGUAGUAUUGAGGUUGAGGAGGAUUAAGAUGGUUCAGUAAGAUUGAGAAGGUUGAGUGAGAUUGUGGAGGUUGAGUAGGAUUGAGUAGUAUUGAGGUUGAGGAGGAUUGAGGUGGUUCAGUAAGAUUGAGAAGGUUGAGUGAGAUUGAGGAGGUUCAGUAGGAUUAAGUAGUAUUGAGGUUGAGGAGGAUUGAGGUGGUUUAGUAAGAUUGAGGAGGUUCAGUAGGAUUGAGUAGUAUUGAGGUUGAGGAGGAUUGAAGAGGUUGAGUAGUGAGUAGGGUUUGGCUUUGCACACAAAUGACUCAGGAUAAGUUUUUUUUAUUUUGUGUACAAAUUUUGCUCUUGCUUUCCAAAUGUCCAAAAUUCUGGCAUACAUUCUUGUUAGGCUGCAUUUAAUUAAUCAAUUAUUUAUCAACCUUUUAUCAAUUUAAUUUUACAUUAAUUAUA
This is a long non-coding RNA of Silurus meridionalis, 2037 nucleotides long. RefSeq lists it as uncharacterized. Lineage: Eukaryota; Metazoa; Chordata; Actinopteri; Siluriformes; Siluridae. The transcript has 3 exons. The record is from RefSeq and is a predicted model, not a curated record.